Long non-coding RNA from Rhopalosiphum padi (bird cherry-oat aphid), 550 nucleotides. RefSeq lists it as uncharacterized. The transcript is spliced from 2 exons. NCBI's taxonomy places the organism in Eukaryota, Metazoa, Arthropoda, Insecta, Hemiptera, Aphididae. The record is from RefSeq and is a predicted model, not a curated record.
UUAAUAAUUUUUGUUUUUUAGUGUAUCUUCACUAAACUUUUAUGAUUUUUUUCUUAAAAUGCAAUCAGUUAAAUUGUAUAAAUUAAUAGUACAACCAACUAAAGAUCUAGAAAAAAGGGAAAAAUGAUCAAUGAUCAUCAGAUGGUACUCAUAUACUUCAUUAUACAAAUAAAAAAAGAUAUUUAUAAUUAUUAUUUUAAAAUAGUACCAAUUAUUUAACUGUCUGCACUAAUUUUCUAAGACAAUUUUAUUAUUUCUAAAAAAAUGUUAUUAAAACUACAUUUAAUUGUAAUUUAUUAAAAAAAAUUUUUAAAGACAUUAAUUUAUUUUUUUUAUUUAAUAAAUAUUUAAUUCAAUUUAUUAUUAUCAAAACAAAUAUAAGUAAUAGUAAUUUAUCAAAAAUUGAAAGCUGUGAUAAAAAUACUUACCACAUCUCUACAAUAAGUCUGUUUUACAAUAGGGCCACCAGACAUUGGUUGAUCUACUGACAAUACACUUCUAAGAAGAGGCAAAGCAUCAAAAAUUCGGCCUAAAUCACACAAUGCUACCA